RNAcentral lists this ribosomal RNA (490 nucleotides) under uncultured bacterium. RNAcentral's name for it is "partial 16S ribosomal RNA". It matches the Rfam family "Bacterial small subunit ribosomal RNA", at positions 29 to 507 of the family's 1533-position model. The record is from RNAcentral.
AGUGAACGCUGGCGGCAGGCCUAAUACAUGCAAGUCGAACGGCAGCACAGUGGAGCUUGCUCCAUGGGUGGCGAGUGGCGGACGGGUGAGGCAUACAUGGGAAUCUGCCCAGUCGUGGGGGAUAACUUAGGGAAACUUACGCUAAUACCGCAUGCGCCCUUCGGGGGAAAGCCGGGGACCUUCGGGCCUUGCUCGAUUGGAUGAGCCCAUGUUCGAUUAGCUAGUUGGCGGGGUAAAGGCCCACCAAGGCGACGAUCGAUAGCUGGUCUGAGAGGAUGAUCCGCCACACUGGGACUGAGACACGGCCCAGACUCCUACGGGAGGUAGCAGUAGGGAAUAUUGGACAAUGGGCGCAAGCCUGAUCCAGCCAUGCCGCGUGAGUGAAGAAGGCCCUCGGGUUGUAAAGCUCUUUUGUCCGGGAAGAAAAGCAUCGGGCUAAUACCUCGGUGUUCUGACGGUACCGGAAGAAUAAGCACCGGCUAACUUCGUG